UCCCUAGUGGUCUAGUGGCUAAGGAUCCAGCACUCUCACUGCUGUGGCCCAGGUUCAAUUCCCAGCCAGGGAA
RNAcentral lists this transfer RNA (73 nucleotides) under Pangasianodon gigas (Mekong giant catfish). RNAcentral's name for it is "tRNA-Glu". It matches the Rfam family "tRNA". From Rfam's summary of the family: Transfer RNA (tRNA) molecules are approximately 80 nucleotides in length. Their secondary structure includes four short double-helical elements and three loops (D, anti-codon, and T loops). The record is from RNAcentral. Lineage: Eukaryota; Metazoa; Chordata; Actinopteri; Siluriformes; Pangasiidae.